RNAcentral lists this ribosomal RNA (465 nucleotides) under Orthostigma sp. RNAcentral describes it as "partial 16S ribosomal RNA". Lineage: Eukaryota; Metazoa; Arthropoda; Insecta; Hymenoptera; Braconidae. The record is from RNAcentral.
CUGCCCAAUGAUUUAAUUAAAUGGCUGCAGAAUUUUAACUGUACAAAGGUAGCAUAAUAAUUUGUUUUUUAAUUAAAAACUAGAAUGAAUGAUUAAAUAAAAUAUAAACUAUUUUAAUUAAAUAAUUAUUUAAAUUUUUAUUUAAGUAAAAAAACUUAAAUAAUUUUAAAAGACGACAAGACCCUAUAGAAUUUAAUUUAUUUAUUUUAUUAAAAUUUAAUUUAUUUAUAUAAUAAAAUUAAAAAAAUUUAAUUGGGGUAAUUAUAAAAUUUUAUAAAUUUUUAUAAAAAAAUACAAUCAUUAUUGAAAUAUAUAUCUUAAUUAUAAAUUAUUAAAAUUAAUUACCUUAGGGAUAACAGCAUAAUUUUUUUUUAAAGAUCAUAUUAAUAAAAAAGAUUAUGACCUCGAUGUUGAAUUAAGAUAAAAUUUAAAUGAAAAAAUUUAAAAAAUUAAGUCUGUUCGACU